AACGAACGUUGGCGGCGUGGAUUAGGCAUGCAAGUCGAACGCGAAAGGGUAGCAAUACCCGAGUAAAGUGGCGAACGGGUGAGUAACGCGUAGGAAACCUGCCUUCGAGUGGGGGAUAAC
RNAcentral lists this ribosomal RNA (120 nucleotides) under uncultured bacterium. RNAcentral's name for it is "partial 16S ribosomal RNA". It matches the Rfam family "Bacterial small subunit ribosomal RNA", at positions 29 to 147 of the family's 1533-position model. The record is from RNAcentral.